Molecule: ribosomal RNA, 539 nt
Filed under: uncultured bacterium
Lineage: Bacteria
Description: bacterial SSU rRNA
Rfam family: Bacterial small subunit ribosomal RNA
Source: RNAcentral
GCUGGCGGCGUGCCUAACACAUGCAAGUCGAACGAGAAAGUGGAGCAAUCCAUGAGUACAGUGGCGACCGGGUGAGUAACACGUGACCAACCUGCCCUCGAGUGGGGAAUAACUCCGGGAAACCGGAGCUAAUACCGCAUAACAUCGCAAGAUCAAAGCCGCAAGGCGCUUGAGGAGGGGGUCGCGGCUGAUUAGCUAGUUGGUAGGGUAAUGGCCUACCAAGGCGAAGAUCGGUAGCCGGCCUGAGAGGGCGCACGGCCACACUGGAACUGAAACACGGUCCAGACUCCUACGGGAGGCAGCAGUGGGGAAUUUUGCGCAAUGGGGGAAACCCUGACGCAGCAACGCCGCGUGGAGGAUGAAGUCCCUUGGGACGUAAACUCCUUUCGACCGGGACGAUACUGACGGUACCGGAAGAAGAAGCACCGGCUAACUCUGUGCCAGCAGCCGCGGUAAUACAGAGGGUGCGAGCGUUGUUCGGAAUUAUUGGGCGUAAAGGGCGCGUANGCGGUGCGGUAAGUCACCUGUGAAAUCUCCUG